This 446-nucleotide ribosomal RNA is filed under the name uncultured bacterium. RNAcentral describes it as "bacterial SSU rRNA". It matches the Rfam family "Bacterial small subunit ribosomal RNA", at positions 329 to 792 of the family's 1533-position model. The record is from RNAcentral.
GUCCAGACUCCUACGGGAGGCAGCAGUGGGGAAUAUUGCACAAUGGGGGAAACCCUGAUGCAGCGACGCCGCGUGAGUGAAGAAGUACUUCGUUAUGUAAAGCUCUAUCAGCAGGGAAGAAAAUGACGGUACCUGAGUAAGAAGCCCCGGCUAACUACGUGCCAGCAGCCGCGGUAAUACGUAGGGGGCAAGCGUUAUCCGGAUUUACUGGGUGUAAAGGGAGCGCAGGCGGCGCGUUAAGCCUGGUGUGAAAGCCCGCGGCCCAACCGCGGGACUGCAUUGGGAACUGGCGCGCUGGAGUGCCGGAGGGGUAGGCGGAAUUCCUAGUGUAGCGGUGAAAUGCGUAGAUAUCAGGAGGAACACCGGCGGCGAAGGCGGCCUGCUGGACCGUGACUGACGUUGAGGCUCGAGAGCGUGGGGAGCAAACAGGAUUAGAUACCCGAGUA